Molecule: ribosomal RNA, 2217 nt
Filed under: Triticum aestivum (bread wheat)
Lineage: Eukaryota; Viridiplantae; Streptophyta; Magnoliopsida; Poales; Poaceae
Description: partial small subunit ribosomal RNA
Source: RNAcentral
AUGGGGACGGGACAAAUUGUGGCUGUCCUUCAGAUAGGUGGCGAAUUCACCACAGAUGCUGAUGGGCUUAUGUCCUAUUCUGGUGGAGAGGCACAUGCAAUGCUUGUCAAAAGUGACUGGACUUUCAGUGCAUUUAAGCAUGAGAUAUCUUCAACGCUUAAUAAUCUCAAAGUCGACCAGUUCUUGUUCAAGUAUUUCCUCCCCAAGAAUAACAGAACCUUGAUUUCUAUUUCCAAUGACAAGGACCUACAUCGCAUGGUUGAAUUCCAUGCAGAGUCGGAGACGACAUACAUUUAUGUCAUAAAGAAGGUCGACAACAGUGCAAAGAGCGUUGUUGCUGACUCCGCCACUCCUACAAAUGCAAUUGCCGUUGUCCCAACAACUCCGGAUGGGUCUAAGAGACAAAAGGUGUGCACAGAGUGGAAGGAUGUGAUCACUGGAGUCGGCCAAGUAUUUGAAAGUCCUAAGGACUUCCGGGAUGCCUUGCAUAAGUAUGCCAUUGCACAUAAGUUCCAUUACAGAUUUAUCAAGAAUGACUCAACUCGUGUUACUGCGGAAUGUACUGGUGAAGAUUGCCCAUGGCGGAUACAUGCUUCCAAGUCUCCUGCCAACAUAGAUUUCAUGAUCAAGAAAAUGUCUGAAACACACACCUGUGAAUCUGAAACUGUGAAAAGUCAUCGUUUGGCGUCACAGCGAUGGGUUGCUAGUGUUAUAAAGGAAAAGUUACGUGAUAGCCCACACUACAGGCCAAGAGACAUUGCAAAUGAUCUCCAACAGGAGUAUGGACUGUGCCUAAAUUACUCGCAGGCUUGGCGUGGAAGAUCAAUUGCUCAGAGAGAACUUUAUAGCGCACAUGAUGAGGCAUGCAUCCAGCUACCAUUGUUUUGUGAAAGGAUUAAGGAAACAAACCCUGGAAGUGUGGCAACAGUAGUGACUAUGGAAGAUUCAAAAUUCUGUUUCUUUGUUGCCUUCCAUGCAUCGCUUUAUGGUUUUGAGCAUGGGUGCAGACCACUCCUUUUCCUUGAUGCAGUAUCUGCAAAACCGAAUAAGCAAUGGAAGUUACUGACUGCUACUUCAGUUGAUGGGGAAGGCGAUGUGUUCCCAGUUGCAUUCACUGUAGUGGACAAGGAGAGCCGUGAAAAUUGGCAUUGGUUUCUUGAGCAACUAAAAUAUUCACUGUCGGCAUCUCAUGACGUAACAUUCAUAUCUAAUGGAGAAAAUGGAUUAUGGGAUGAAGUACCAUUGGUGUUCCCUGACAGUCAUCAUGGAUAUUGCAUGGACUUUCUUAUUGAAGCAUUUAAGAAGCAAUUGGAUGAUGCGUGGACUGAAGAAGUAAGAGAUGCUAUGGUUGAGCUUCUUAAGAGGGCCAUAUUUUCAUGCACAGUUGACGAGUUCAAUCAGUAUAUGGAGCAAAUUAAAAGUGAAUCUGAUAAGCUUGCUGAAUGGCUUUUGGAGAUCAAACCUGAGCGGUGGUCAGAUGCCCUUUUCAUGGGGUCGCGGUAUGGUCAGUAUUCAUGUAAUAUUUCCAACACUGUUGUUGACUGGAUCCCCACAAGAUAUGAGCUUCCAGUUGUGCAGUUGGUUGACACAAUAAGAUGCAAGCUCAUGGAGAUGAUGUACACACGCAGAGAGUCUUGUAAUGAAUGGCCUGACGGAUUAACGCCUGUAGCUAACCAGAAAUUGCAGGAAGAAGUUAGCAAAGCUCACUCACUCAAUGUUAUGCCCACAGAAAGUGAUGGGGACGGUAAUUUAUUCAAGGUAUGCGAUGACUCAGUUAAUGUUGUCAACAUUGGGACGUGUGACUGCACCUGCCGAAAGUGGAAUGUUUCUGGGUUGCCAUGCAUGCAUGCAAUUGCAGUAUUUGAGUGCACUGGGAGGUAUGCAUAUGACUUCUGUGUGGAGUAUUUCACGACGAAAAGCUACCGCUCGACCUAUUCAAUGUCCAUUAAUCCGAUACCUGAUGUUACCUUAACGGACAAUUCUCCGAGUCCAGCGACAUUACCAUUCCCCAUUCAAACUCGUCGACGGGUUGGCAGGCCGAAAGAGAAACCAGCUGAUCCGCGCAUCACAAUUAAAAGGGCAGUGCGCUGCAGCAGAUGUAAAGGCUAUGGUCACAACAAAGCAACUUGCAAAAUUCCUAUCAGCGGCGAAGCCUUGCCCGCCUUGCCACCAGCUGAGCUCUCCGAUGUACACAAUAAGGUGGAGAGUUGCUCUUGA